AGUGAACGCUGGCGGUAGGCCUAACACAUGCAAGUCGAACGGCAGCACAGGAGAGCUUGCUCUCUGGGUGGCGAGUGGCGGACGGGUGAGGAAUACAUCGGAAUCUACUUUUUCGUGGGGGAUAACGUAGGGAAACUUACGCUUAUACCGCAUACGACCUACGGGUGAAAGCAGGGGAUCUUCGGACCUUGCGCGAUUGAAUGAGCCGAUGCCGGAUUAGCUAGUUGGCGGGGUAAAGGCCCACCAAGGCGACGAUCCGUAGCUGGUAUGAGAGGAUGAUCAGCCACACUGGAACUGAGACACGGUCCAGACUCCUACGGGAGGCAGCAGUGGGGAAUAUUGGACAAUGGGCGCAAGCCUGAUCCAGCCAUACCGCGUGGGUGAAGAAGGCCUUCGGGUUGUAAAGCCCUUUUGUUGGGAAAGAAAUCCAGCUGGUUAAUACCCGGUUGGGAUGACGGUACCCAAAGAAUAAGCACCGGCUAACUUCGUGCCAGCCGCCGCCGUAA
This 506-nucleotide ribosomal RNA is filed under the name uncultured bacterium. Its description in RNAcentral is "partial 16S ribosomal RNA". It matches the Rfam family "Bacterial small subunit ribosomal RNA", at positions 29 to 523 of the family's 1533-position model. The record is from RNAcentral.